AACGAGCGAGACCCACGCCAACACGUUGCCAGCUCGUCCUCCGGGAUGGUGGGGACGACUGUUGGGACCGCCUCGUGCUAAAGAGGAGGAAGGAAUGGGCAACGGUAGGUCAGCAUGCCCCGAAUUAUCUGGGCUACACGCGGGCUACAAUGGGUGGGACAAUGGGUAUCGACACCGAAAGGUGAAGGCAAUCUCCUAAACCCAUCCGUAGUUCGGAUUGUGGGCUGCAACUCGCCCACAUGAAGCUGGAAUCUGUAGUAAUCGUGUCUCAAAAUGGCACGGUGAAUAUGUCCCUGCUCCUU
This 302-nucleotide ribosomal RNA is filed under the name uncultured Methanomicrobiales archaeon. RNAcentral's name for it is "bacterial SSU rRNA". It matches the Rfam family "Archaeal small subunit ribosomal RNA", at positions 1040 to 1338 of the family's 1478-position model. The record is from RNAcentral. Lineage: Archaea; Methanobacteriati; Methanobacteriota; Methanomicrobia; Methanomicrobiales.